Molecule: ribosomal RNA, 700 nt
Filed under: uncultured Bacteroidota bacterium
Lineage: Bacteria; Pseudomonadati; Bacteroidota
Description: bacterial SSU rRNA
Rfam family: Bacterial small subunit ribosomal RNA
Source: RNAcentral
AUAGUGGCGCACGGGGUGCGUAAGCACGUAUGCAACCUACCUUACAUUGGGGGAUAGCCUUUCGAAAGGGAGAUUAAUACCGCAUAAGACAGUAGCUGGGCAUCCAGCAGCUGUUAAAGAUUUAUCGAUGUAAGAUGGGCAUGCGUCCAAUUAGUUAGUUGGCGAGGUAGUGGCUCACCAAGACUUUGAUUGGUAGGGGAACUGAGAGGUCAAUCCCCCACACUGGCACUGAGAUACGGGCCAGACUCCUACGGGAGGCAGCAGUAGGGAAUAUUGGGCAAUGGACGCAAGUCUGACCCAGCCAUGCCGCGUGCAGGAUGAAGGCGUUAUGCGUUGUAAACUGCUUUUAUACAGGAAGAAACGACUCUUGCGAGAGGCAUUGACGGUACUGUAUGAAUAAGCACCGGCUAACUCCGUGCCAGCAGCCGCGGUAAUACGGAGGGUGCAAGCGUUGUCCGGAUUUAUUGGGUUUAAAGGGUGCGCAGGUGGUUUAUUAAGUCAGUGGUGAAAGACGGUCGCUCAACGAUUGCAGUGCCAUUGAAACUGGUAGACUUGAGUAAAGUAGAGGUGGGCGGAAUUGAUAGUGUAGCGGUGAAAUGCAUAGAUAUUAUCAAGAACUCCAAUUGCGUAGGCAGCUCACUUGGCUUUUACUGACACUCAUGCACGAAAGUGUGGGUAUCAAACAGGAUUAGAUACCCUG